AAGGGCUUGUAGCUCAGUGGACUAGAGCACGUGGCUACGGACCACGGUGUCGGGGGUUCGAAUCCUCCUAGCCC
Molecule: transfer RNA, 74 nt
Filed under: Alkalinema sp. RU_4_3
Lineage: Bacteria; Bacillati; Cyanobacteriota; Cyanophyceae; Leptolyngbyales; Leptolyngbyaceae
Description: tRNA-Arg
Rfam family: tRNA
About the family: Transfer RNA (tRNA) molecules are approximately 80 nucleotides in length. Their secondary structure includes four short double-helical elements and three loops (D, anti-codon, and T loops). Further hydrogen bonds mediate the characteristic L-shaped molecular structure. tRNAs have two regions of fundamental functional importance: the anti-codon, which is responsible for specific mRNA codon recognition, and the 3' end, to which the tRNAs corresponding amino acid is attached (by aminoacyl-tRNA synthetases). tRNAs cope with the degeneracy of the genetic code in two manners: having more than one tRNA (with a specific anti-codon) for a particular amino acid; and 'wobble' base-pairing, i.e. permitting non-standard base-pairing at the 3rd anti-codon position.
Source: RNAcentral